AAGGGGCCAAAGAUGUUAAAAUCGAAACUUAUGUUGCUAAUUUAAUUAAAACAAAAACCAAACACCCCAUUUGGGGAUGUCUGGUCGUACAAAGAAGCAGGAGGCGAUGGGUUUCUUCAAACCCUAAAAUCCUUACUAAAACUCUCAAAUUGGAGGUGCAAAUCUGGUCCAAAACGAAAAUCGAGCAUAGAUUACUGAUCCCCAUUGCAAGGGGGUUGUAAGUUUGACUCUUGACAAGCUAGAUGGAGGCUUGGAAUGAAGCGGGUCAAACGGAGCAAGUACGAAAAGGAAAGCGUAAUUUGGAUGCGAGUCUUAGGUACUCAAGGAUUAUGGGUGACGAUCAAGCAACUUUUGAAGGACCGAACACAUACUCUUGAAGCUUCCGCAUAAAUCAACUCGGUUUAAACAAUGUUUAUGAUGUAAACUGUUUGCUAAACAACUUUUGAAAUGUUUAAACGACGUACUCAAUUAUGUUAUGUUGUAUUAUUUUAAAAUUGUAAAGUUUAAACAAACCCGUAUUUUUACAAAGUACAUGUAGUCAUAAUUACAUGUUGUUUGUCGUAUA
Long non-coding RNA from Helianthus annuus (common sunflower), 565 nucleotides. RefSeq lists it as uncharacterized. The transcript is spliced from 3 exons. Lineage: Eukaryota; Viridiplantae; Streptophyta; Magnoliopsida; Asterales; Asteraceae. The record is from RefSeq and is a predicted model, not a curated record.